CUGUCUUGCUCUGAGGAGGUGUGUUAUCAGUUUCUCUCAUCAGCGACAACAAUUGAAAGUUCGUGUGGUCGUAAUUCGACUGCUACAUUUAGGAAGCCACUAUGCUUGGAUGUUAAAGGUCCAUUCGCCUAUGGCAUCUACAAGUGGGCUCUUCCAGUCAUUUCCAGCAAUUCAGUAGCGGUCAAAAUCCUUUAUCCCAUCUUUUGGGGAUUAAUGACUCUCAGCACCUUUGGCAAUGAUCUGGAGCCUACCAGUAAUUGGCUCGAAGUAUGCUUCAGUAUUUGCACGG
Molecule: unclassified non-coding RNA, 289 nt
Filed under: Hevea brasiliensis (rubber tree)
Lineage: Eukaryota; Viridiplantae; Streptophyta; Magnoliopsida; Malpighiales; Euphorbiaceae
Source: RNAcentral